Molecule: ribosomal RNA, 425 nt
Filed under: uncultured bacterium
Lineage: Bacteria
Description: bacterial SSU rRNA
Rfam family: Bacterial small subunit ribosomal RNA
Source: RNAcentral
GUGGGGAAUAUUGGACAAUGGGGGCAACCCUGAUCCAGCAAUGCCGCGUGAGUGAAGAAGGCCUUAGGGUUGUAAAGCUCUUUCGCUCGUGACGAUGAUGACGGUAACGAGAGAAGAAGCCCCGGCUAAUUCCGUGCCAGCAGCCGCGGUAAUACGGAAGGGGCUAGCGUUGUUCGGAUUUACUGGGCGUAAAGCGCAUGUAGGCGGCGGAUCAAGUGAGGCGUGAAAGGCCUGGGCUCAACCUGGGAACGGCGCUUCAGACUGAUUGGCUAGAGUUCGGGAGAGGGUGGUGGAAUUUCCAGUGUAGAGGUGAAAUUCGUAGAUAUUGGAAGGAACACCGGUGGCGAAGGCGGCCACCUGGCCCGAAACUGACGCUCAAGUGCGAAAGCGUGGGGAGCAAACAGGAUUAGAAACCCCAGUAGUCC